GACGAACGCUGGCGGCGUGCUUAACACAUGCAAGUCGAACGGAAAGGCCCUGCUUUUGUGUUGUGCUCGAGUGGCGAACGGGUGAGUAACACGUGAGUAACCUGCUCUUUACUCUGGGAUAACUUCAGGAAACUGGGGCUAAUACCGGAUCUGAUCUCCUGCUGCAUUUUGGGCGUUGGAAAGUUUCGGCGGUUGGGGAUUGACGCGCGGCUUAUCGGCUGGUUGGUGGGGUAGUGGCUUACCAAGGCUUUGACGGGUAGCCGGCCUGAGAGGUUGACCGGCCACAUUGGGACUGAGAUAGGGCGCAGACUCGUAUGGGAGGCAGCGGUGGGGAGUAUUGCAGAAUGGGGGGAAGCGUGAUGAAGCAACGCCGCGUGCGGGAUGACGGCUUGCGGGUUGUAAACCGGUUUCGCAUGUGACGAAGCGUGAGUGACGGUAAUGGGUAAAGAAGCACCGGCUAACUACGUG
This 468-nucleotide ribosomal RNA is filed under the name uncultured bacterium. RNAcentral's name for it is "partial 16S ribosomal RNA". It matches the Rfam family "Bacterial small subunit ribosomal RNA", at positions 28 to 507 of the family's 1533-position model. The record is from RNAcentral.